This 420-nucleotide ribosomal RNA is filed under the name uncultured eukaryote. RNAcentral describes it as "bacterial SSU rRNA". It matches the Rfam family "Eukaryotic small subunit ribosomal RNA", at positions 592 to 1011 of the family's 1831-position model. The record is from RNAcentral.
CAAUAGCGUAUAUUAAAGUUGUUGCGGUUAAAAAGCUCGUAGUUGGAUUUCUGUCGAUGACUGGUGGUCCUCUCUAUGAGAGUGUAUCUACUUAGGCGUUGGCAUCCUUAUGAGAGACGUUUCUGUGCUUGAUUGCAUGGUGCGGAUUUCAUAACUUUUACUUUGAGGAAAUUAGAGUGUUCACGGCAGGCACGCGCCUUGAAUACAUUAGCAUGGAAUAAUAAUAUAGGAUCGAGAUUCUAUUUUGUUGGUUUCUAGAAUCACGAUAAUGAUUAAUAGGAUAAUUGGGGCGAUUUGUAUUAACGCGUCAGAGGUGAAAUUACUUGGAUUGCGUUACGACAAACUAACUGCGAAAGCAUUUGUCCAAGGAUGUUUUCUAUUGAUCAAGAACGAAAGUAAUGGGGAGUCGAAGACGAUUAG